RNAcentral lists this ribosomal RNA (251 nucleotides) under uncultured prokaryote. RNAcentral's name for it is "partial 16S rRNA". It matches the Rfam family "Bacterial small subunit ribosomal RNA", at positions 525 to 775 of the family's 1533-position model. The record is from RNAcentral.
ACGGAGGGUGCGAGCGUUAUUCGGAAUUACUGGGCGUAAAGCGCGUGUAGGCGGGGUCGCAAGUCGGAUGUGAAAGCCCUCGGCUCAACCGGGGAACUGCAUUGGAUACUGCGAUGCUUGAGUGCUGGAGAGGGUGGCGGAAUUCCAGGUGUAGAGGUGAAAUUCGUAGAUAUCUGGAGGAAUACCAGUGGCGAAGGCGGCCACCUGGCCGGUAACUGACGCUGAGGUGCGAAAGCGUGGGGAUCAAACAG